RNAcentral lists this long non-coding RNA (1218 nucleotides) under Sorghum bicolor (sorghum). RNAcentral's name for it is "long non-coding RNA (SBIC_LNC003268)". The record is from RNAcentral. Lineage: Eukaryota; Viridiplantae; Streptophyta; Magnoliopsida; Poales; Poaceae.
GAGGAGUUCCAGCCUAUCGGUGCUUCUUCAUGGUUGUAUUCUUCUAGAUUCAGUUCCCUCGCCCGGAGCUACGUUCUAAGGUACUUUUAUACUUACCCUUCUGAUUUAAGUAAGCAUCUUGUUCUUAUUCGUUCUUUGGUUCACAACUCAUAUUGAGUGCUUUGAUCUUGAUCGUAACUUGGUUGAAGUAGUUUUUCAUAGUGUAGGCGUGGUGUCUAGGCUAGGUUUACUUGUGGAUGUCCUCUGAUCAGCCGGACAGUGGUAGUUUGCGUAGGUGACUUUAUGGCUGCGUUGAUUCCUCUGUAGUCCACUUCUCAUUGAUAGGAUUGAUAGGCUUAUAGGUACCUGAUAGGGGAUUACUCUGAUUCUUCCCCUAUUCGGGUUACUUGCCCGAUAAGAUGGUAUUAUACAAAGUUUACCGGAGUUGAAACUAGAGUGCAUUAGUUAUUUUCUUUUUCUUGAUAUGAUCUAACCUAAUUGUAGGGUUAAGUCUAUAUACUAUGUCAUCAUCACAACUAUUCCCUGUGUAUUCGAUAUUUAAAAUCUCCAGGUAAAAUGUGACACUAGUAUGAUAUCUGUGCGCUUGUGGAUAAUCCUACUUAAAUCUAUUUAAAUGGAGUGCAGUUAAUUUAUACCAACAAGCAUUUUUGGCACCGUUGCUGGGGAACGGUUUGCUGAUUUUGACUUAGUUUAGCUUAAUCUUGUAUUGUACUUUUAUUUUUUUCUGUUUUUAUACCAUUCUCUUCAUUUUUUUUGUGUUCAUCCUUAUGGAUGCUUUUAAUUCUAUUCAUAUCGGUCUUUAUGGCAUGUGCAAAAGCUUAAAGCAUAAGCCUUAUCUUAAUAUCUAUAAGCUAUGCCCAUGUCUACAUAAUAUAAUAAACCCUUCUCAAAUAUAUCAUGAGAUUAUUAAUCCUAAUCUUGGUUUACUAGGCCCCACGUUUAUUCAACAUUUGGGUCUUACCAAGAGUUACAAGGAAUCCCUUGAUUUAUCUUCUCGAGAGUUCUUUCUUAUCUUUUAAAGCAAGAGUUUAUGCUCAAAAGAGUUGCUCUAGCUAUUUCUGAACUCCCCAAAAGAAGAAAAGGAUUUAUUAUCCAAACUAAAAACAGAAGUCUUGGUAGCUAAAACACAAUCACAUCAUUCCUAAAAUUUAGCUAUCAAUCCUAAACCUUUAAAUUCCACUUUAAUGAUUUAGACUUCCAGUUAGCUAAGAUGCUCCU